AAAGUACUUUGAAAAGAGAGUUCAAUAGCACGUGAAACUGUACAUUGAAAAGCGGAUGAGAGCACAUGCACUGAAUUAAGUAAUUCACCUUCAUAUUUUGUGUUACUCAACGUGUAAUAUGUUGAUGUUGAAUUUCAAACUAUGAAGCGCAUUCUACUUAUUCACAAGCUGUUUGGGUUCGAUAUUGUGCUUGUCACAUGUAUCGCACGUUUAAUUCAAUAAUUCAACCAGGUUCAUGUACCUCGCACAAUAACAGACCUUACGACAAUGUUUGACAGCGUUUAAAAAUGGCAGCAAAUGUGGUUAAGUUAAGUGCUUCUAAGGAAGUACAUUGGUUUUUCCACUUUGCCGUACACAUCAAGCUGUCAAUCUAUGGAAAAACAGUAAAAUGUGUGCAGUAUCAUCCGACCCGUCUUGAAACACGGAU
This 427-nucleotide ribosomal RNA is filed under the name Moniliformis moniliformis. RNAcentral describes it as "LSU rRNA". It matches the Rfam family "Eukaryotic large subunit ribosomal RNA", at positions 368 to 666 of the family's 3401-position model. The record is from RNAcentral. Lineage: Eukaryota; Metazoa; Acanthocephala; Archiacanthocephala; Moniliformida; Moniliformidae.